UACGAAGGGGGCUAGCGUUGCUCGGAAUCACUGGGCGUAAAGGGUGCGUAGGCGGGGCUUUAAGUCAGGGGUGAAAUCCUGGAGCUCAACUCCAGAACUGCCUUUGAUACUGAGGAUCUUGAGUAUGGGAGAGGUGAGUGGAACUGCGAGUGUAGAGGUGAAAUUCGUAGAUAUUCGCAAGAACACCAGUGGCGAAGGCGGCUCACUGGCCCAUUACUGACGCUGAGGCACGAAAGCGUGGGGAGCAAACAGG
Molecule: ribosomal RNA, 253 nt
Filed under: uncultured bacterium
Lineage: Bacteria
Description: partial 16S ribosomal RNA
Rfam family: Bacterial small subunit ribosomal RNA
Source: RNAcentral